GUUUUUUGGGAACAGAAUAGAAUAAUCGUGGCAGUGGAGGGGAAGAGGGAAUCUAUUCUUCCUUUGCUUUGAGGAGCCGAAAGCAUAAAAGAGAGUGCCGAACAAAGGUUAUCAGCCUCAUCCUCAGCCUCUGGUCACUCAUUCCCAAGCUACCUCCCUUACCACCUCAUCACCUCUUAUCGUGGUUUUCUUCGACGACUUCAAUCCAGAGGAGGAAGAAGAAGAAGACGACUAAUCUGGGGUUUCUACUAGUCCCAAAUUAGUAGCAGUGGAUAGAACCUGAUAAUCCUGUUCAAUUUCAAUUUUUCUCAGUGGGCCUUAAUUUUGUUUAGCUUAGGCGAAACUGAACAGGCAGCUCUACAACUUAGUUGCAAGUCCUAUUGUGAAAGUUUAAAUUGGUUUAGCACUAUCCCUAGCCACCUCUUGGGUCUUGGCCCCUGGUGGUGGAGAGCUUUCGUGAUAGUUAUUUGGUUAAGGAUUUCAGACUCAAAGGGAAAGCGUUGACAAUUUCUAUCUUUCAUCAACCAAUAUUGGACCGGUGUCCCCUCUGAAUAAUAUUGUCGUGUUGGAUCUGAUUUAAACUGAUAAGAAGCCAAAAAAUAUCAAUUUCCUGAGCUACACAUGCAUGCAUUUUUACUGGACUUUUAAUUAAGUGAAAGGAAGUGAACAAUCAUGCAUAAGGAUCAAAGUACUAGUGCCCCGUCGGCACCUUCUCGACUUCGUAAUCGCAGGCGCUCCAGUGAGGUUGUUCCAGAGGUUAGUAAAGAAAAUGGAGGCCGUUUGCUGGUUAAUGAUCGAAACAAAUACAAGUCAAUGUGGGUCCGUGCGCACUCAACUAUUUGGAUGAUUGGGGGCUUUGCUUUGAUUGUCUACAUGGGUCAUCUCUCUAUCACAGCUAUGGUGGUUGUCAUUCAAAUAUUUAUGGCAAAAGAGCUAUUCAAUCUACUUAGGAAAGCACAUGAAGAUAGGCAUCUCCCUGGAUUUAGACUUUUAAAUUGGCACUUCUUCUUCACUGCAAUGCUAUUUGUGUAUGGCCGCAUUCUCAGUCAACGGCUAGUCAAUACCGUAACAUCAGACAAAUUCUUGUAUCAGCUUGUUAACAGCCUCAUCAAGUAUCAUAUGGUUAUUUGUUAUUUCUUGUAUAUUGCAGGUUUUAUGUGGUUCAUUCUUACACUAAAGAAGAAGAUGUACAAGUAUCAAUUUGGCCAGUAUGCAUGGACACACAUGAUUCUAAUCGUGGUGUUUACUCAAUCCUCUUUCACUGUGGCAAAUAUUUUUGAGGGAAUUUUCUGGUUUCUACUUCCAGCCACACUAAUUGUCAUCAAUGACAUUUUCGCUUAUAUCUUUGGUUUCUUCUUUGGAAGAACCCCUUUGAUCAAGUUAUCACCAAAGAAAACUUGGGAGGGAUUCAUUGGAGCAUCUAUCACAACGAUGAUCUCUGCAUUUGUGCUUGCAAAUAUAAUGGGGCGCUUUCAGUGGCUAACAUGUCCAAGAAAGGAUUUGUCGAGUGGUUGGCUUCAAUGUGAUCCUGGCCCUUUAUUUAAGCCAGAGUAUUUUACUUUGCCAGCAUGGGUUCCUAAAUGGUUUCCUUGGAAAGAAAUCUCCAUUCUGCCUGUUCAAUGGCAUGCUUUAUUGCUUGGUUUGUUUGCCUCAAUUAUUGCACCUUUUGGAGGCUUUUUUGCAAGUGGUUUCAAGAGAGCUUUUAAAAUUAAGGAUUUUGGUGACAGUAUUCCUGGCCAUGGGGGAAUUACAGAUAGAAUGGAUUGCCAGAUGGUGAUGGCUGUGUUUGCAUACAUCUAUCAUCAAUCAUUCGUUGUGCCUCAAAGCAUCUCAGUUGAAAUCAUCUUAGAUCAGAUUUUGACGAACCUUACUUUUGAGGAGCAGCAUGCUUUGUACACCAAACUUGGGGAAAUCAUUCAGGAAAGGUUGGUUGGACAAUCUUAGAUUUGUGAAGGCCACAUCUUUGACGUUCUUAGUAUUUGAAGCAUAUUAGUACAUCUUAGCCUAGCAGUGAAAGAAGAAUUGUUUGUAUAUAUUGCCUUUCCUAUUUCAGAUUCAUGUUCUCUAGGUGGAGGCAUUCUUUAGCGAGCACAAUAUGUAUAGCAUUAAAUAUGCAUAAAACUGUCAAUGGCAUGUAUUGCUAAUUGCUGAAAUUUGUAAUCCAAAAUUGUCAUUUCAAGGGAGUGCAAGAACUAGAGGUGGCGUGGCAACUCAAAAAGCAAAUUUAAAAGCAAGAUUAGAAGCAACUAAAAUUUUCGAGGCAGCGAUCUUCUUGAGAAACGUAGAAAUGAUUGAUUUGAGCUAGGUUACGGUUAUCUGUUUGUUUACUUGCAAUUCCCUAAUCUAGAAAAACAGAAAUUUACUUCUUAGUUUGUUGUUGGUAAAGUGAAAGUUUUAUAACAGUGGUUUUUGUUGAUUUUCAUCAAAUUUGGAACCAAAAAUUCACAUCUUCAUACUUGAUGUAGUUUGAAACUUUAAUAUUAUUGGGUCAGGUGGCCAAAAAUUGACUGUGUUGCAUCUACUAUCAAAGUAUGAAUACUGGAGAGUGUGUGAAUCCACUUGUUGCUGGAUAAAGUUUUGUGGAAAAUUCUUUGGAUAAUCAUUCUGUCAGCUUUUCUCUAUUCUUUCAGUAUUUGAGAGAUUAAUAGUUUCAGAUUUCGUUCUUGUGGAUUUGGAAACUGAGUGUUCUAAUGUCUGUAGAUCCUUUUCCUAUUUCGUAAGUUCAGGUUGAGGUUCGACCAUCUUGAUUUAGACUUGCUGCCAAUGAUUUCUUCAAUUGUGUGAAAAUGAUUCGGUAUGUUUUAUCAACUAUGUUCUCGUUUUGUCAUUUAAUGAUCACUCUUAGGAAUAGUUUGAACUUUAAUUAAAAAAAAAGAAAGAAAA
RNAcentral lists this unclassified non-coding RNA (2883 nucleotides) under Hevea brasiliensis (rubber tree). The record is from RNAcentral. Lineage: Eukaryota; Viridiplantae; Streptophyta; Magnoliopsida; Malpighiales; Euphorbiaceae.